This 274-nucleotide ribosomal RNA is filed under the name uncultured bacterium. RNAcentral describes it as "partial 16S ribosomal RNA". It matches the Rfam family "Bacterial small subunit ribosomal RNA", at positions 523 to 796 of the family's 1533-position model. The record is from RNAcentral.
AUACAGAGGGUGCGAGCGUUAAUCGGAAUUGCUGGGCGUAAAGCGCGCGUAGGCGGCUUAUUAAGUCAGAUGUGAAAUCCCCGGGCUCAACCUGGGAACUGCAUCUGAUACUGGUAAGCUAGAGUUUGGGAGAGGGAAGUAGAAUUUCAGGUGUAGCGGUGAAAUGCAUAGAGAUCUGAAGGAAUACCAGUGGCGAAGGCGACUUCCUGGCCUAAAACUGACGCUGAGGUGCGAAAGCGUGGGUAGCAAACGGGAUUAGAUACCCCAGUAGUCC